AGUGAACGCUGGCGGUAGGCCUAACACAUGCAAGUCGAACGGCAGCACAGUAAGAGCUUGCUCUUACGGGUGGCGAGUGGCGGACGGGUGAGGAAUACAUCGGAAUCUACUUUUUCGUGGGGGAUAACGUAGGGAAACUUACGCUAAUACCGCAUACGGCCUACGGGUGAAAGCAUGGGAUCUUCGGACCUUGCGCGAUUGAAUGAGCUGAUGUCGGAUUAGCUAGUUGGCGGGGUAAAGGCCCACCAAGGCGACGAUCCGUAGCUGGUCUGAGAGGAUGAGCAGGCACACUGGAAAUGAGACACGGUCCAGAAGACGACGGGAGGCAGCAGUGGGGAAUAUUGGACAAUGGGCGCAAGCCUGAUCCCGUCAUGGCGAGGGGGGGAAGAAGGUAUUCGGAUUGUAAAGCACUUGAAGUUGGCAAAAAGAGAAGGAAGUUAAUACCUCGCUGUUUGGACGUUACCAAAAGAAGAAGAAAGGGCUAACUUCGUG
RNAcentral lists this ribosomal RNA (492 nucleotides) under uncultured bacterium. RNAcentral's name for it is "partial 16S ribosomal RNA". It matches the Rfam family "Bacterial small subunit ribosomal RNA", at positions 29 to 507 of the family's 1533-position model. The record is from RNAcentral.